Molecule: long non-coding RNA, 879 nt
Filed under: Musa acuminata (dwarf banana)
Lineage: Eukaryota; Viridiplantae; Streptophyta; Magnoliopsida; Zingiberales; Musaceae
Description: long non-coding RNA (MACU_LNC006802)
Source: RNAcentral
UGCUAUAUAGUUUCUAGGUUAAUGGAUGCUGCAGAACAAGCAGAUGAAGGUGGCAGAUUUCCUGAUGAUUGCUAUUCUUCUACAUCAUGACUUGCUUUUAAGAGUCAUCAUGUUGGCUUAACUCAUACUUGGCUCGUCUGCUCAUUUGCAUCCUCCAAAUCUGAUACCAUAUUAAGGAUUCGAAAGGACGAUCUUCAAUAUCGACUCAAGUACGAUGAUCUUGGAAUGUCAUCAAAUAGCUACCUACUAAUCAAUCUGGAUGAUUAGAAUGUACUAAAAACUCAAUCUACACUAGAAGAUCAAUUUGCCUAACCUAUCAACAUUCUACCUAAAUAUAGAAUUAAAAGGAACAAGACUAGAGAACCAGAGAAGUCAACGCGUUGAAUCACUUGAACUUGCCGUGGCGACCUUAGCCAUGGUGGUGCGUCCCAUGGCCAAGAUGAAGGUGCCCAUGCGACAGCAACUGGUGAGCCCCCGCGGCCGCCGCAGCCGCUGCUCCCCCUAGCAACGCCCCCACGCCGGAACCGUGCCCUGGAUACACGAAAAGCACGCAUUAUGAUGGAACUAGUUUCCAGUGCUGGUGAGUUACUACCAUGAUGCGGCGGCGCUGACGGCCCGGGGGCCGGUGGAUAUCCUGAUGGCGGCUGCGGGUAUCCGUAAGGUGGCUAUCUUUGAAAGCAGUCCUUUGAUACUAGAAUGCGAUGCUUCGUGCUUCAUCUUUUCCACCUCCCAUGUUAUCUUCACUGCAAUGGGUGAAAGCAAAAGCCUCAUUAUUAGUGCCUAAUAAGUCUAAAGAAACCCUCACAUUGCUAAAGAUGAACGAAGACGGACGUACCAAUGCGAUCCGAUGGCGCUAUCUUCCUUCCUCUCAGAUGAGCG